Neomonachus schauinslandi (Hawaiian monk seal) is the source of this 355-nucleotide long non-coding RNA. RefSeq lists it as uncharacterized. The transcript has 3 exons. The record is from RefSeq and is a predicted model, not a curated record. NCBI's taxonomy places the organism in Eukaryota, Metazoa, Chordata, Mammalia, Carnivora, Phocidae.
GUCAUUGCAAACCUGUUUUCCUUCUAUUGCCCAUGUACUUCCAGGGCCAGGCCACAUAAAACACAUAGAUGUCACAAGAUGACCUCUGGAUAUGACACCUUGAUGUCACAAUGCCAAGACUUCUUCAUCCCCACCCCACUGCUUGCCUCUCCAUCCCACUUCAUGAAGUCCUACUCAAUCUUCCAGACUCAACUCAAAAGGCCACCACCUCUAGGGAGACAGCCUGGCACAGAGGUUGGGGACCAUCCGAAGUCUGGCUGUAGACCUCUGGUGGAGUGGAGUGAAAAGACCAGAGGUUUAGAGUCAGUGAAAUUUGGGUUCAAAUCCUGACUGCCACUUACUCACAGUGUGACCC